AUGCGCAGAAGGGUUGCUUGAUUGCAGUCCGUGUCAGUUGGACUUCGAACGCCGUGCAGGACACUAGCUUUAAAAAAAGAGAAUCAUUUCCUACGGCAUUUCGUAUAAUAUGCUUGACUUUUACGCAAUAACUAUUACGACAAAUGUUUUCUACUUUCGUAAAGGUUUUUAUUAAGAAUAUAACAACAAGAAAUUAAUAUAUUAAAUCUUACCUUAAUGAAUAUUCUAAAUAGAAAGUAUAAUAGAAACAUAAACUUAUUAAUUUGUAAAGCGAAUGUACCUGUCAACACAUUAAUAUACUUAGAUGUGUCAUUUAUUUCUAAUAUAAAAAGUGCUUUUCGCAUAAGCUAAAAAGAAUUUAAAUUAUCAUGAAAACAGCCAAUGCAAUAUCGAUAAUAAUUAAAUACUUACCCCAGCAAAAACUUGGUGCGAUGAGACAAACAUAUUUCCGAUUGAUAAAAAGCACGGUUUUCCACUUCUAGCUAUUAUAAAUAGUAGCAAUUUUUGUGUAUUUAUGGAUAAUGUAUAAAACGGAACGUCACACCUAUAAACAAAUAUUCUAUUAUCAUCCUUACACAAGCUUGCUUUUUUAAACGAUAGAAGAAAAAGUAGUUGGAAAAAAAUAUUGUAAAGUUCUAUAAUAAAAAUUAUUUUACAUCAUAUUACUGACCAAUAAAUAAUAAAAUAUUACAAAAUAAACAAAUUUAUUAUGUCCUUACAAUUCUUCAAGAACUGCAUUGCUAUGAUUCAUCAACCUUUGUCCAAGAUAAAAAUUUAUAUACACAGUAAAAGCUGCACCAGUUACAUAAAGGAUGCAUUCUAUUUUGUUUUCUAGAGUUUUUAAUAAUACCGAAAAUUGAAGAAUCUAAAAGAAAAAAUAAAUGGUUAUUUUUAUAGUGAACAGACUUUUUGUGAAAUUUUUAAACUUGAUGCAAACAUAAAACACAUAAUUCUAUAAUAACACAUUUUUAUUGAAACGAAAUUUUAAUAUUGUUAAGUGCAGUAAUCGUGAAAACUUGUGUUUUUAAAAAUGUUUUUUAACAAACGGUUAUAACAGCACAAGUAAUAAAACAUAGCAGUCCCUACG
This 1087-nucleotide long non-coding RNA is filed under the name Polistes fuscatus (common paper wasp). RNAcentral describes it as "uncharacterized LOC122526752". Lineage: Eukaryota; Metazoa; Arthropoda; Insecta; Hymenoptera; Vespidae. The record is from RNAcentral.